CCCAGAAGCCACUGCUAUAGGUAGUCAGUGCCCAGAAACCACUGCUAUAGGUAGUCACCAGAAACCACUGCUAUAGGUAGUCACCAGAAACCACUGCUAUAGGUAGUCACCAGAAACCACUGCUAUAGGUAGUCACCAGAAACCACUGCUAUAGGUAGUCACCAGAAACCACUGCUAUAGGUAGUCACCAGAAACCACUGCUAUAGGUAGUCACCAGAAACCACUGCUAUAGGUAGUCACCAGAAACCACUGCUAUAGGUAGUCACCAGAAACCACUGCUAUAGGUAGUCACCAGAAACCACUGCUAUAGGUAGUCACCAGAAACCACUGCUAUAGGUAGUCACCAGAAACCACUGCUAUAGGUAGUCACCAGAAACCACUGCUAUAGGUAGUCACCAGAAACCACUGCUAUAGGUAGUCACCAGAAACCACUGCUAUAGGUAGUCACCAGAAACCACUGCUAUAGGUAGUCACCAGAAACCACUGCUAUAGGUAGUCACCAGAAACCACUGCUAUAGGUAGUCACCAGAAACCACUGCUAUAGGUAGUCACCAGAAACCACUGCUAUAGGUAGUCACCAGAAACCACUGCUAUAGGUAGUCACCAGAAACCACUGCUAUAGGUAGUCACCAGAAACUACUAGGCCUGUGUUGUUGCUACUUAUGGAUUCAAAAAGUGAUUGGUGCUACCAUGAUCCAACGAUGUAAAGUUACACAGGCCUACAGACCUAGUUAAAAUGACAGAAUAUUUCAUGUCGGUCUGUGUCUAUGGUCUCAUCACCUUAGCGGCUAUAAGCACAGGAGGGGCAGAUAGACCUAAUGAUAACGAGCUAACCACAGACAUUAUGCUUCCUGUAGUUCAAUACUACAGGGGUAUGCUUCAUGUUGUCGAGAAACAAGAGCCAUGUCUUUCCCAUCGUCGAGAACCUGAGGGAUGAGUUUUGCUGGUCAUGUUUGGUGCCUCGCUGCCAUUGUGGUGUUAACAAUUCUGCUAACUCUUAACUCUGGGACGAUACUCCAGGAUGAUGACAGUGACAUCACACACACUGCUGGGUAAGAGGAUCGUAAUGUGACCGGCUCAGUGGUCGUCUGCUACCUUUUAGCUCCAAUAUGAACUGGAGUUCUGAAAGACUGAUUCCUUCGCAGCUAGCCUACCCAAAGAUUUA
Molecule: long non-coding RNA, 1165 nt
Organism: Oncorhynchus keta (chum salmon)
Lineage: Eukaryota; Metazoa; Chordata; Actinopteri; Salmoniformes; Salmonidae
Exons: 5
Source: RefSeq, a predicted model, not a curated record